RNAcentral lists this ribosomal RNA (305 nucleotides) under uncultured bacterium. RNAcentral describes it as "bacterial SSU rRNA". It matches the Rfam family "Bacterial small subunit ribosomal RNA", at positions 338 to 641 of the family's 1533-position model. The record is from RNAcentral.
CCUACGGGGCGCAGCAGUGAGGAAUAUUGGUCAAUGGCCGAGAGGCUGAACCAGCCAAGUCGCGUGAGGGAAGACGGCCCUACGGGUUGUAAACCUCUUUUGUCGGGGAGCAAAGCGAGUCACGUGUGACUCAUUGAGAGUACCCGAAGAAAAAGCAUCGGCUAACUCCGUGCCAGCAGCCGCGGUAAUACGGAGGAUGCGGGCGUUAUCCGGAUUUAUUGGGUUUAAAGGGUGCGUAGGCGGUCCGGAAAGUCAGCGGUAAAAGCCCGGGGCUCAACCCCGGCGAGCCGUUGAAACUGUCGGAC